CCUACGGGGGGCUGCAGUGGGGAAUAUUGGGCAAUGGGCGAAAGCCUGACCCAGCAACGCCGCGUGAAGGAAGAAGGCUUUCGGGUUGUAAACUUCUUUUAUCAGGGACGAAGCAAGUGACGGUACCUGAUGAAUAAGCCACGGCUAACUACGUGCCAGCCGCCGCGUCAAUACGUAGGUGGCAAGCUGUAUCCGGAUUUACUGGGUGUAAAGGGCGUGUAGGCGGGAGUGCAAGUCAGAUGUGAAAACUAUGGGCUCAACCCAUAGCCUGCAUUUGAAACUGUACUUCUUGAGUGCUGGAGAGGUAAGCGGAAUUCGGGGUGUAGCGGUGAAAUGCGUAGAUAUAAGGAGGAACACCAGUGGCGAAGGCGGAUUGCUGGACAGUAACUGACGCUGAGGCGCGAAAGCGUGGGGAGCAAACAGGAUUAGAUACCCGAGUAGUC
Molecule: ribosomal RNA, 443 nt
Filed under: uncultured bacterium
Lineage: Bacteria
Description: partial 16S ribosomal RNA
Rfam family: Bacterial small subunit ribosomal RNA
Source: RNAcentral